UCAUCUAUCUACUUAAGGCUUAUAGUAGGCUAGUUCCACCCACGAGGGAGACUGUCUUAGCCUGCUUACCAACUGUCCGCAGUGGGCCAUCAAAUUAAAGAAAGAACCUCUCUUGCGGAAAUAGAUGCAAAGACCGGAAGAAGGGAAGUAGCUUAUCAAAAAGCCAAUGCCCGCCGUAGCUUAUCAAAAAUCCAAUGCCCGCUUCAACCGGUGCUUGACCUUAGUGGACAGACCAUCAAAGAAAAGCUAGCAUAGCGAAGAAGGUAGACCUAGCAGCCUUACUUCUGAGAGGUCUACGCGCCAUAAAUGGAUCUUUUGCUUUCUAUCAAUUGAUUGGGAUGUGUAUGAAAAAGUAAAAAAUUGUCACAAGUGGAGUCAGAUAGAGAUAGGCAGGGAUGUGCUCUGGCAAAGAGAGGAAAGGCGAGUUAGAAGGGUGCAGCUGCCCGAGCUAAUGAAAGGCAAGGGUAAAGGAAUUGGCCUUGAGAUAGAAAUGAGGGGAAUUCUCCGUAAGCACAUAGCUCAUAGAGGAAUGGCUUGGGAAUGGUAGAUCUAGUCUAGUUAAGCUAAUUGAAGAAUCACCCACGAAAGGCACGAAGUAGCUCGAACAAAGUGAGAGGAACAAAGAGAGAUUUCUCAGUGCAGUCCGCCGAAUUAAUUAAAUU
This 662-nucleotide long non-coding RNA is filed under the name Linum usitatissimum (flax). RNAcentral describes it as "long non-coding RNA (LUSI_LNC005332)". Lineage: Eukaryota; Viridiplantae; Streptophyta; Magnoliopsida; Malpighiales; Linaceae. The record is from RNAcentral.